AACGAACGCUGGCGGCAGGCCUAACACAUGCAAGUCGAACGGGAUCUUCGGGUCUAGUGGCGGACGGGUGAGUAACACGUGGGAACGUGCCCUUGGUUCGGAAUAGCCCCGGGAAACUGGGAGGAAUACCGGAUAAGCCCUACGGGGGGAAGAUUUAUCGGCAAAGGAUGGGGCCGCGGUGGAUUAGGGAGUUGGGGAGGUAAUGGCUCACCAAGCCGACGAUCCAUAGCUGGUUUGAGAGGAUGAUCAGCCACACUGGGACUGAGACACGGCCCAGACUCCUACGGGAGGCAGCAGUGGGGAAUCUUAGACAAUGGGGGAAACCCUGAUCUAGCCAUGCCGCGUGAUCGAUGAAGGCCUUAGGGUUGUAAAGAUCUUUCAGUGGGGAAGAUAAUGACUGUACCCACAGAAGAAGCCCCGGCUAACUCCGUGCCAGCAGCCGCAGUAA
This 448-nucleotide ribosomal RNA is filed under the name uncultured bacterium. RNAcentral describes it as "partial 16S ribosomal RNA". It matches the Rfam family "Bacterial small subunit ribosomal RNA", at positions 29 to 523 of the family's 1533-position model. The record is from RNAcentral.